CGCCCCCUGGCGGUGAGGCAGAGGGACUGCAGUGUUCCCUGUCAGAUCCGGAAGAUCUGGAAGAAGAAGACCGUCGAUCCGAAGAACCACGCGGAGAACGAGCCACCAUGAGCGGAGCGGCGAGUUUUAAAAGCUGCGCUUCGGUUCUGGUAACGGGGGCGAACCGCGGGCUCGGGCUUCAGCUGGUGGACAGUCUGGUGAGAGGAGGUUUCUGCCCGGGAAAGAUCAUAGCGACAACCAGAAACUCCUCCGCCACCCAGAAACUUCAAGAACUGGCCGAGAAUCAUCCCAACAUCCACAUAGUAACUUUAGAUGUAGCGAGUCAGGACAGCAUCGAGCGGUGUGCCGAGGAGGUGGGCCGGCUGCUGGAGGAAGAAGGUCUGAACUGUCUGAUCAACAACGCUGGGAUCAAACUGGAGGCCGACUUCCACUCCGUCACUGCAGAGGCGAUGAUAGAAAGCUUCAACAUCAACGCCGUGGCUCCGCUCAUGAUCACAAAGGCUUUUCUGCCUCUGUUGAAGCGAGCUGCAUCCAGAGGAUCAGCAGGCGGGCCGGGGAUUAUGGGAAUCCAGAGGGCAGCAGUUAUUAACAUGGGCUCUCUGCUGGGCUCCGUAGAGCUCAACUGGGGCGACGAGGCCCAGAACUUGAGAUGGUACCCCUACAGGACCUCCAAGGCUUCUCUGAACAUGGUCAGCCGCUGCAUGGCGGGGGACCUGCGGGCUGAUGGGAUCCUCUGUGUGGCCGUGCACCCCGGCUGGGUCCGCACCGACAUGGGGGGGUCUGAGGCUCCUCUGAGUCCCGAGGAGAGCGUUUCCUCCAUCUUAUCUGUGAUUGGUCGGCUGAGUGAAGAGGAUCAUGGGUCGUUUCUGAGCUUUAAGGGAGAGCGGUUGCCGUGGUAACGUGUUUGUUUCAAGGCUCUCUUGGACUUCCUUGAAUUUUAAAAAACCAGUCGUAUUGUUGUUUAAACAAGUCAUCUUGUUGUUAAAACAAGUUCAAACAAGUCGUCUUGUUAAAACAAGUUCAAACAAGUCGUCUUGUUAAAACAAGUCGUCUUGUUAAAACAAGUUAAAACAAGUUGUCUUGUUAAAACAAGUCAUCUUGUUGUUUAAACAAGUUAAAACAAGUCAUCUUGUUGUUAAAACAAGUUAAAACAAGUCGUCUUGUUAAAACAAGUCAUCUUGUUGUUAAAACAAGUUCAAACAAGUCGUCUUGUUAAAACAAGUUAAAACAAGUCGUCUUGUUAAAACAAGUCAUCUUGUUGUUUAAACAAGUUAAAACAAGUCAUCUUGUUGUUAAAACAAGUCAUCUUGUUGUUAAAACAAGUUAAAACAAGUCGUCUUGUUAAAACAAGUUAAAACAAGUAGUCUUGUUAAAACAAGUCAUCUUGUUGUUUAAACAAGUUCAAACAAGUCGUCUUGUUGUUUAAACAAGUUAAAACAAGUCGUCUUGUUAAAACAAGUCAUCUUGUUGUUAAAACAAGUCGUCUUGUUAAAACAAGUCAUCUUGUUGUUAAAACAAGUUCAAACAAGUCAUCUUGUUGUUAAAACAAGUUCAAACAAGUCGUCUUGUUAAAACAAGUCAUCUUGUUGUUAAAACAAGUUCAAACAAGUCGUCUUGUUAAAACAAGUCGUCUUGUUAAAACAAGUCAUCUUGUUGUUUAAACAAGUUAAAACAAGUCAUCUUGUUGUUAAAACAAGUCGUCUUGUUAAAACAAGUCAUCUUGUUGUUAAAACAAGUUAAAACAAGUCAUCUUGUUAAAACAAGUCAUCUUGUUGUUUAAACAAGUUAAAACAAGUCAUCUUGUUGUUAAAACAAGUUAAAACAAGUUGUCUUGUUAAAGCAAGUCAUCUUGUUGUUGAAACAAGUUCAAACAAGUCGUCUUGUUGUUUAAACAAGUUCAAACAAGUCGUCUUGUUAAAACAAGUCAUCUUGUUGUUAAAACAAGUCGUCUUGUUAAAACAAGUCAUCUUGUUGUUAAAACAAGUCAUCUUGUUGUUAAGACAAGUCGUCUUGUUAAAACAAGUCAUCUUGUUGUUAAAACAAGUUCAAACAAGUCGUCUUGUUAAAACAAGUCAUCUUGUUGUUAAAACAAGUCAUCUUGUUGUUAAAACAAGUCAUCUUGUUGUUAAAACAAGUCUUCUUGUUAAAACAAGUCAUCUUGUUGUUAAAACAAGUUCAAACAAGUUGUCUUGUUAAAACAAGUUAAAACAAGUCGUCUUGUUAAAACAAGUCAUCGUGUUGUUUAAACAAGUUAAAACAAGUCAUCUUGUUAAAACAAGUCAUCUUGUUGUUAAAACAAGUUAAAACAAGUCGUCUUGUUAAAACAAGUUAAAACAAGUCGUCCUGUUAAAACAAGUCAUCUUGUUGUUUAAACAAGUUCAAACAAGUCGUCUUGUUGUUUAAACAAGUUAAAACAAGUCGUCUUGUUAAAACAAGUCAUCUUGUUGUUAAAACAAGUCGUCUUGUUAAAACAAGUCAUCUUGUUGUUAAAACAAGUUCAAACAAGUCAUCUUGUUGUUAAAACAAGUUAAAACAAGUCGUCUUGUUAAAACAAGUCAUCUUGUUGUUAAAACAAGUUCAAACAAGUCGUCUUGUUAAAACAAGUCAUCUUGUUGUUUAAACAAGUUAAAACAAGUCAUCUUGUUGUUAAAACAAGUCGUCUUGUUAAAACAAGUAAUCUUGUUGUUAAAACAAGUUAAAACAAGUCAUCUUGUUAAAACAAGUCAUCUUGUUGUUUAAACAAGUUAAAACAAGUCAUCUUGUUGUUAAAACAAGUUAAAACAAGUCGUCUUGUUAAAGCAAGUCAUCUUGUUGUUGAAACAAGUUCAAACAAGUCGUGUUGUUGUUUAAACAAGUUCAAACAAGUCGACUUGUUAAAACAAGUCAUCUUGUUGUUAAAACAAGUCGUCUUGUUAAAACAAGUCAUCUUGUUGUUAAAACAAGUCGUCUUGUUAAAACAAGUCAUCUUGUUGUUAAAACAAGUCAUCUUGUUGUUAAAACAAGUCGUCUUGUUAAAACAAGUCAUCUUCUUGUUAAAACAAGUCAUCUUCUUGUUAAAACAAGUUCAAACAAGUUGUCUUGUUAAAACAAGUUAAAACAAGUCGUCUUGUUAAAACAAGUCAUCUUGUUGUUUAAAGAAGUUAAAACAAGUCAUCUUGUUGUUAAAACAAGUCGUCUUGUUAAAACAAGUCAUCUUGUUGUUAAAACAAGUCAUCUUGUUAAAACAAGUCUUCUUGUUAAAACAAGUCGUCUUGUUAAAACAAGUCAUCUUGUUGUUAAAACAAGUUAAAACAAGUCGUCUUGUUAAAACAAGUCAUCUUGUUGUUAAAACAAGUUAAAACAAGUCGUCUUGUUAAAACAAGUCUUGUUGUUAACAUAAGACGACUUUAGAAAAGUGAAAUCUGUGUUUUUCUCAACGAAACAGAAAAGUCACAUUUUUCAAAGCUGGAGGAAAAUCUUUUUUAAGAGCGACUAAAUGAGAAAAACUCCAACUUCUGCUUCAUAAAUGUUCUUAUUCGUGUAAAAUAUACAAAAUGUGACGUUUCUACAUUGAUGCCAUUGAUAUUUGUUCGACUUCGUACCCGAUGAGGAUGAGAAGGGAAAUAACAUCUUGCAGACUUCAGCAUUAAGACUUGAUCCAUUUAAAAGUCUGUUAACAACAAUCUAAGCUAAUAAAUGUGUUGCAGCUUUC
Non-coding RNA from Nothobranchius furzeri (turquoise killifish), 3691 nucleotides. The record is from RefSeq and is a predicted model, not a curated record. Lineage: Eukaryota; Metazoa; Chordata; Actinopteri; Cyprinodontiformes; Nothobranchiidae.